RNAcentral lists this ribosomal RNA (543 nucleotides) under uncultured Hydrogenophaga sp. Its description in RNAcentral is "bacterial SSU rRNA". It matches the Rfam family "Bacterial small subunit ribosomal RNA", at positions 337 to 873 of the family's 1533-position model. The record is from RNAcentral. Lineage: Bacteria; Pseudomonadati; Pseudomonadota; Betaproteobacteria; Burkholderiales; Comamonadaceae.
UCCUACGGGAGGCAGCAGUGGGGAAUUUUGGACAAUGGGGGCAACCCUGAUCCAGCAAUGCCGCGUGCAGGAAGAAGGCCUUCGGGUUGUAAACUGCUUUUGUACGGAACGAAAAGGCUCUGGUUAAUACCCUGGACUAAUGACGGUACCGUAAGAAUAAGCACCGGCUAACUACGUGCCAGCAGCCGCGGUAAUACGUAGGGUGCAAGCGUUAAUCGGAAUUACUGGGCGUAAAGCGUGCGCAGGCGGUUUUGUAAGACAGGCGUGAAAUCCCCGGGCUCAACCUGGGAAUUGCGCUUGUGACUGCAAGGCUGGAGUGCGGCAGAGGGGGAUGGAAUUCCGCGUGUAGCAGUGAAAUGCGUAGAUAUGCGGAGGAACACCGAUGGCGAAGGCAAUCCCCUGGGCCUGCACUGACGCUCAUGCACGAAAGCGUGGGGAGCAAACAGGAUUAGAUACCCUGGUAGUCCACGCCCUAAACGAUGUCAACUGGUUGUUGGGAAUUUACUUUCUCAGUAACGAAGCUAACGCGUGAAGUUGACCGCC